GUCGGGUACCAUUGCUAGAUGGUCACUUCGAUUAGUACAGGAAUUGGUUCCUGUGCUAUCGGCUUAGGUUCGAACCUACGGGGUCACACACAUUAGAGGUUCUUAUCUGAUCUGAUGGCUGAUGUAGAAUCUUACAUGUUUGGAACUCAGUGAUCGAGAAUCAGGAUUCUCUGAUCAUGAGUUCCACACAUUAUGGGUACUGGGGUCAAGAGUCCCACUGGUUGGGAUUUUUCGAUCAGGUUUACAUAUCGAUGAAUUCUGAUGCCUGAUUGUCCAUCGGAUUUGGACUCAGUAUUUAUGAG
This 302-nucleotide long non-coding RNA is filed under the name Elaeis guineensis (African oil palm). Its description in RNAcentral is "long non-coding RNA (EGUI_LNC075324)". The record is from RNAcentral. Lineage: Eukaryota; Viridiplantae; Streptophyta; Magnoliopsida; Arecales; Arecaceae.